Molecule: ribosomal RNA, 1083 nt
Filed under: Triticum aestivum (bread wheat)
Lineage: Eukaryota; Viridiplantae; Streptophyta; Magnoliopsida; Poales; Poaceae
Description: partial small subunit ribosomal RNA
Source: RNAcentral
AUGAGACUAUCGCCGCUACCCCUUGUCACAUUGUUUGUCUGCAGGAGUCCAAAAUGGGAAACGUCAACCCCUACACUGCUGCUCACAUUGGAGGCCAAAGAGUUAAAAAACUUUGCCCAACGCCCGGCUGCCAGGACCCGUGGCGGUAUCCUCCUACUGUGGGAUGAUGAAGCGGUUCAACUCUCCAAUGUGCUAUCUGGGUCUUUUACCCUCUCGACCGUUGUUUCCUUGCGUUCACAAAACCAUAACACCACCUCCUUCAAGCUCACGGCCGUCUAUGGUCCGACUAGAGGCAACCUCAAGGAUGGUUUCUUCAGCGAGUUCGUCUCUGAAAAAACACUCCCGGGUUCCUGGCUGGUCACGGGAGACUUCAACCAAAUUUAUCGGGCAAGGGAUAAGAACCGCGCUAACGAUCGAAGCUGCAUUGUCCGGUUUAGAAAUGCGUUGAACACCUAUGAGCUAAAAGAGAUUCAUCUUCAAAACAGAAGAUUCACUUGGAGAAAUGGCCAGAGUGACCCCAUCUUGAGCAUGUUGGAUAGCUUCUUUUGCAAUGAGGAAUGGGAUAUGUAGUUUGGUUCUCACAUUCUGCAUGCACUCUCAUCUUCCCUAUCUGACCACUGUCCUCUUCUACUCACAAAUGGAAAUGGCCCUAAGCGAUCCAAGUGCUUCUACUUCGAGAACUUCUGGAUUAAGAUGCCCGGUUUUUUGGCAAUCAUCCAAGAGGCAUGGAAUGAAGAUCACAACCAUGUCGAGCCCUAGCAUGUUAUUCACCAUAGACUCAAGAAAACUAGCAUCAAGUUAAAGGCUUUGAGCAAAACUCUUUUCUCCAAUGUGAAAGUUCAGUUGCAUAUGGCUCGGGAGAUCAUCCUCCGCCUUGAUACCGCGCAAUAAUCUCGAUCCUUGAGCACGGAUGAACUUGACCUUCGGAAGAGGCUUAAGCGACGAGUAGUUGGCUUGGCUGUACUUGAGAAGGCUAGGAAGCGGCAGAACUCUAGGAUCACUAACAUCAAAGAGGCCGAUGCAAACACUAGAUUCUUCCACCUGAGAAUUAACUGCGGGAGAAGGAAUUAUCCACCAUCUUAA